This 186-nucleotide long non-coding RNA is filed under the name Chelonoidis abingdonii (Abingdon island giant tortoise). RNAcentral describes it as "lncRNA (ENSCABG00000014403.1)". Lineage: Eukaryota; Metazoa; Chordata; Testudines; Testudinidae. The record is from RNAcentral.
UUGGAACGCUUGGUCUAAGAUAGUAACCAGUAUGGUAUUUUAUAGCAAAGGAUCCUGCGGACUUUGACUUAUCGGAUGCACUAGAUGAUCAGAAUGAUGGGAGAGGUGGUGGGAAACCAAACGUAAAACCUGGUGGAGCAUUUUCAGAUGAUGAUCUGGCCAGUGUUCUGGACGAUGGGGAGUACC